GCGAUCAGACCAGCACUUAUGCACCAGAUCCCAUGAGAACUCUGCAGUUAAGCAAGCUUGUGCAAGAGUAGUACUAGGUUGGGUGUCCACUAGGAAGUACUCGUGUUGCACCCC
Non-coding RNA from Ilex paraguariensis (yerba mate), 114 nucleotides. The record is from the annotation of a GenBank genome assembly. Lineage: Eukaryota; Viridiplantae; Streptophyta; Magnoliopsida; Aquifoliales; Aquifoliaceae.